This 73-nucleotide transfer RNA is filed under the name Ailuropoda melanoleuca (giant panda). It matches the Rfam family "tRNA". From Rfam's summary of the family: Transfer RNA (tRNA) molecules are approximately 80 nucleotides in length. Their secondary structure includes four short double-helical elements and three loops (D, anti-codon, and T loops). The record is from Rfam by way of RNAcentral. Lineage: Eukaryota; Metazoa; Chordata; Mammalia; Carnivora; Ursidae.
AUCUGGUUGACUCAGUCGGUAGAGCACGGGACUCUUGAUCUUGGGGUUGUGAGUUUAAGCCCCACAUUGGGUA